UUAGGGAUGCGGGUGUUAUUGUGUUGAUGUGUUGUGUACUCACUCUUGAGCGCGCAGAUCAGCUGGUGUCCAUCUUUAAUCAGCUCUUUGAUGAACGUGUUCGUUCGAUCCAGCUCGAUCUCGUGACAUUUGAGUCUCUCUCUAAAGUCCGGACUGUCCACAAAAGAGUCACUGAACUCUAGAGUCGGCAACCCCAUAAUCAGACCUGAAAUAAAGCCUCACAGAACAAUGCAACUCGGUAUUUCCUCAGAAACACUGGAGCACCCGUGUCAUCAUUAUCAUCCUCAUCCACACUCGAAACGCGGAAAGUGUCGCUCUCUUGCAAAGAUUCAUGCGAAAGUUUCUCUUCACUUCCGCGCUCUGAACUUUCAUCAAGCCAAACUUCUGCAGCAGCCAGCAUGAGAUCAUGAGACUCCUGCUGGUUAUAUUAGAUAACACCCGUAGACCUGCUGUAUGUGCUUUACUCUUCAACGUUCAAACACUUUCAUUAAUAAGUUUAAAUGCCACAAUGGCAAACAUGGUAAUACCUCUACAUCUUCAUGCCUCUGUUUGAUCUGCCACAUUGGGAGUAAAAGGCCGAUAACCGAGGGGCAUUUAGUACUGCUGCCAGGCACCGCGAGCUAGUUGAGGAUCAAGCGGCAGUGUGUUUAGGGAACCAAACCAAAAUGUUUUUUUUUCUCUCUCCCCUUCCAACAAGACAGGACCAGGUCUGGGUAUUUUAGUUGG
Cyprinus carpio (common carp) is the source of this 726-nucleotide long non-coding RNA. RefSeq lists it as uncharacterized. Lineage: Eukaryota; Metazoa; Chordata; Actinopteri; Cypriniformes; Cyprinidae. The record is from RefSeq and is a predicted model, not a curated record. The transcript has 3 exons.